RNAcentral lists this ribosomal RNA (254 nucleotides) under uncultured bacterium. Its description in RNAcentral is "partial 16S ribosomal RNA". It matches the Rfam family "Bacterial small subunit ribosomal RNA", at positions 524 to 776 of the family's 1533-position model. The record is from RNAcentral.
UACGGAGGGUGCGAGCGUUGUCCGGAAUCAUUGGGCGUAAAGGGCGCGUAGGUGGCCCGGUCAGUCUUUGGUGAAAGCGCGGGGCUCAACCCUGCGUCGGCCAGGGAUACUGCCGCGGCUGGAGCACUGUAGAGGCAGGCGGAAUUCCGGGUGUAGCGGUGGAAUGCGUAGAGAUCCGGAAGAACACCAGUGGCGAAGGCGGCCCGCUGGGCAGUGGCUGACGCUGAGGCGCGACAGCGUGGGGAGCAAACAGG